GUCAAGAGAAUAAAAUUGAAACCGUGAUAAACUUCAUCAAAGAAAAUCAUUCACAUUGAAUCAAUUUUCUGGUGAAGAUUCUACUUUUCUUCCUUCUCCAAAUCCAUCUCAGAAUAACCAUUCGAAUCAAAAUCAAUCUAUCCCACAAAAUCAGAUUCUACUCUUCUUCCUUCUCCAAAUCCAACCCAGUUCUCUCAACCAUUUAGAAUUCUGCUGCUGCUGCUGUCUCUCUUGUUGUUCCAGGAUCCUUUUCACACCUGCAGCUGAAGAAUUGCAGCAUUUUUUUUGGGAAUGAGUACCCUGUCCAUGUCAACCAAUCAUGUAUUUAUGCAAGAAAUCUCCUGGAGUUCUGCUCGGAUCAAGCACUCCACGUGCUGACUCAGUUCAGAUUAUCUGAGUGACUAGGAAUAUGUGCAUUCCAGUUAUGAUAUGAUGAUGCUUGCCUGGGGUACCAAGUCUUUAGUCAGAGAAGCUGUAUCUGAGAAUAAUGACGACGGUGCAGAUUGGGAUGGGUGUCCUUGUUUUACUUGGAUUCCAUUAGCACCAAUGUUCAGGUUGAUGCCAAGAAAACUAUUGUUCCUGAGGUCUUUGCAUGAGUUGCUCCUGUAUGUGCUGCUGUAGCAGGUAUAAUAACUGUCCAUAAUCUUUUCAGUGCUCUUCAGGUAGUCCACUUCAUUUACUCAUCUUUGGAAAGUACCUUGGAACCCUUGGUGAGUAUGUUCUACCCCUGUCUACUUAUUCUGGAAGGUUAAUUAGCUGAAUGUUUGCAAAAUGAGUCAGUAAGUUCUGUUUCCCAGACCCCAAAGAUACAUUUUCUUAGAAGCUCAGUAUAGAACAUUUCGAUAAAUAGUCAAAUCCUUUCCAAUAUAAGGAUAAUCAUGUAAAGGUUUUGCUAUAAACACAACACGUAGAAUCACAAGUGCCAAUAUAAGGAGCUGCACUAGCGUACGAUUGUCCAAUUCGUAGGUUUAUGGGAACUUUUAUCGCUGAUGCACCUAGUUCUGUUUAACUAAAUUGACUUCUCAAUUAUUGUGUUCCUAAGAUAUUUACCAAUUAAAUCUAGAUUGAUAUCUUAAAUUUGUUGAGGUGUCAAGCUAUGAAGCUAUGAACAUCCACAAUUACCAGCAUACCUUGAAAUUAUGAAUAUAAAUAGUCCUGAAGUUGCAGGUUUGUUUGUCUUGGGUAUAUUUAGUUAUCCUUUGCGAAACUAGUAAGUUCCCUUCUAAACAAGUAUCCACUAUGGGACAAGUAAAUAUAUAUUGUUAUCGACAAGUUUUGGUUUCAGGUACAGGAUAAUUAAAUCUGAAAAAUGCUUCAACUAACCUUCAGCUGAGGGAGAGAUUGUUUUACAUACUGAUGCACUGUUCCCACUUAACCAGCUCUCACUGCAUGGCCUGGAUUGAGAGCAUCUGAGUUUGUGAAGCCGAUGCAUGACAGCCACAAUAAACAGCCUGACUCUUUGCUCAUUGUUAAACCUAAUUACCUAACAAACUCAUCCAGUUUGGAGGGGAUUCUAAGCAGAACUACUAAUUUUAACCUCUGGAGUUGCUUCCUUCAUUUUGAGCUCGUGUGGCAACCUAAUGACA
Molecule: long non-coding RNA, 1586 nt
Organism: Papaver somniferum (opium poppy)
Lineage: Eukaryota; Viridiplantae; Streptophyta; Magnoliopsida; Ranunculales; Papaveraceae
Exons: 5
Source: RefSeq, a predicted model, not a curated record